GGCCAGGAGCAGCAGUGGCAGACCAUCUGGAUGCAAUCAAGCCUGCAAUGACCUCAUGGGGAGAAGGGGGGAGCCCCCAGAACUGAGAGCUUUGGGCCUCGCUCUCACUGAUGAGGGAGGGAGAGGAGCUGUGUGGGGAUGAGACACGGAGCAUUUAGUGAAGUGAGAAGUAUGAAAAUGGAUGAGUCAGGACAGAGGGGAGAAGCAAGCUGCCAUCCUCGACUCACUUGGACUCAAAACUUUGAGAGAACCAGCCUGAGGAGAGCCAAAGCAGAAGCUGAAGAAGAGCUCCCAUUCCCCAAGUCCAUGGGCUCCAAGUGCAGCCUUGCUUGGAAAGGCAGGGACAGCAGCAUGUGGCAAGACAGUCUCACUCUGUCACCCAGUGGCACGAUCUCAGCUCACUACAACCUCUGCCUCCCAGGUUCAAGCGAUUCUCCUGCCUAAGCCUCCUGAGUAGCUGUGAUUACAGGUGCGUGCCACCACACUUGGCUGAUUUUUUGUAUUUUUAGUAGAGACAGGGUUUCACCGUGUUAGCCAGGAUGGUCUCGAUCUCCUGACCUCGUGAUCCGCCUGCCUCGGCCUCCCAAAGUGCUGGGAUUACAGGCGUGAGCCACCAUGCCCGACUUAAACCAACUUCUAUUACAUUCCAAGGUCCAUAACCUUUUUACUAUACUCCCCAGUAAACAUUUUGUUGAAAGAAAAAAAAAAAACAAUGAAUGA
RNAcentral lists this long non-coding RNA (720 nucleotides) under Homo sapiens (human). RNAcentral's name for it is "HSALNT0283355". Lineage: Eukaryota; Metazoa; Chordata; Mammalia; Primates; Hominidae. The record is from RNAcentral.